UGUGCUGAACAUUAAAUAAAAUCAAAUCCCAGACGAAUAAUCGGGAUUCAUUUAAUAAGUGUUUAGUUAUUUUAUGCCAGUGCCACGUGCCAGUGCGGCUAGUACCAAAUUAUCACCCUAUUAUGCAACCGGCUAUCUGGAGGCCGAAAUGGAUGAAAUAUGGGAAUUAACUAGUGCAGAGAUUCGACGCGGGAUCGCAAUCUUUUGAUAAAUAUUUUUGGAUUCGACGACAAGCCCCCUUUUCGCUACACGGAGAGAAAACUCCGGCGAAUUAUUUAUAAAUUUGUAACUAUAAGAAGUGCAAUUAUGUGAAUAUUGGCCUGCUGAAUUUUAUUCAAAGCUCAAAUCCCUUUUGUUAAUUAUGAAAUUAUUCUGCGGAAAGAAAGAAUAUUGUAUCUUAAUUCGAAUUUUGCACACCCUUCAGUUUUUUUUAAAUAAUUAAUAUCUUAAUAUCCGUUGUUAUUUUAUUAUAAAUAUAUAGAUUUAUGUAAAUAUAUAUAUAUAAGUGAUAUGAAAAUAUAAGGAAAGAAUUUAGAUUGAAUUAAAUAAUGAUAACUUUGCGAUAAUAUUCGAGCAUGGCCAGGCUAAUUUAUUGUUCUAUUUAAAUUAAUAAUUAUAAACAUCUCUAGCUAUUCCUGUCCUUGAGCUCAACGGCGGCGAACAUCGGUGAGUGAAUAUCCCUAAAUUAAAUUUUAAUAGUUUUGCGAAGCAAACAGUAAAUUUUAGCGAGGCAUGAAUUGAAUAAUUUUGGAUUAAUAAU
Drosophila ananassae is the source of this 760-nucleotide long non-coding RNA. RefSeq lists it as uncharacterized. Lineage: Eukaryota; Metazoa; Arthropoda; Insecta; Diptera; Drosophilidae. The transcript has 3 exons. The record is from RefSeq and is a predicted model, not a curated record.